This 252-nucleotide ribosomal RNA is filed under the name uncultured bacterium. RNAcentral describes it as "partial 16S ribosomal RNA". It matches the Rfam family "Bacterial small subunit ribosomal RNA", at positions 524 to 776 of the family's 1533-position model. The record is from RNAcentral.
UACGUAGGGGGCAAGCGUUAUCCGGAAUUACUGGGUGUAAAGGGAGCGUAGGCGGGAUGGCAAGUUGGGUGUUAAAUCUACCGGCUCAACUGGUAGUCGCACUCAAAACUGCUAUUCUUGAGUGAAGUAGAGGCAGGCGGAAUUCCUAGUGUAGCGGUGAAAUGCGUAGAUAUUAGGAGGAACACCAGUGGCGAAGGCGGCCUGCUGGGCUUUUACUGACGCUGAGGCUCGAAAGUGUGGGGAGCAAACAGG